UCUUCGAUGGUCUAGUGGUCAUGAUUUCCGCUUGUCAAUAUCUUCGGAAUUUUCAAGCGCGGGAGACCGGGGUUCGAUUCCCCGUCGGAGAG
RNAcentral lists this transfer RNA (92 nucleotides) under Sporormia fimetaria CBS 119925. It matches the Rfam family "tRNA". From Rfam's summary of the family: Transfer RNA (tRNA) molecules are approximately 80 nucleotides in length. Their secondary structure includes four short double-helical elements and three loops (D, anti-codon, and T loops). Further hydrogen bonds mediate the characteristic L-shaped molecular structure. tRNAs have two regions of fundamental functional importance: the anti-codon, which is responsible for specific mRNA codon recognition, and the 3' end, to which the tRNAs corresponding amino acid is attached (by aminoacyl-tRNA synthetases). tRNAs cope with the degeneracy of the genetic code in two manners: having more than one tRNA (with a specific anti-codon) for a particular amino acid; and 'wobble' base-pairing, i.e. permitting non-standard base-pairing at the 3rd anti-codon position. The record is from Rfam by way of RNAcentral. Lineage: Eukaryota; Fungi; Ascomycota; Dothideomycetes; Pleosporales; Sporormiaceae.